GAUCCUGGCUCAGGAUGAACGCUGGCGGCGCGCCUAACACAUGCAAGUCGAACGGCACCCACCCUCGGGUGGAAGCGAGUGGCGAACGGCUGAGUAACACGUGGAGAACCUGCCCCCUCCCCCGGGAUAGCCGCCCGAAAGGACGGGUAAUACCGGAUACCCCGGGGUGCCGCAUGGCACCCCGGCUAAAGCCCCGACGGGAGGGGAUGGCUCCGCGGCCCAUCAGGUAGACGGCGGGGUGACGGCCCACCGUGCCGACAACGGGUAGCCGGGUUUGAGG
This 280-nucleotide ribosomal RNA is filed under the name uncultured bacterium. Its description in RNAcentral is "partial 16S ribosomal RNA". It matches the Rfam family "Bacterial small subunit ribosomal RNA", at positions 15 to 298 of the family's 1533-position model. The record is from RNAcentral.